RNAcentral lists this long non-coding RNA (488 nucleotides) under Lynx pardinus (Iberian lynx). Lineage: Eukaryota; Metazoa; Chordata; Mammalia; Carnivora; Felidae. The record is from RNAcentral.
GGCUGGGUACAGUGUACUUUAUUGAUGGUCCAUGACAAGGCAUGACUCCCCAAACCCCUCUCCUUCUUCAGGGGAUCUGGGAUGGAAAUGGUGUGGAGAUUGGGAGAUUCUCAGUGUGUUGGGGGAUGAUUUGGGGCAAGAAUUCCCCAACAGCUAAGGGCCUCUCUCUUCAUCUUGCUCUUGCUGAGGCUGGCAGCCAGGGGCUGUUACUCCUUGGAGGCCAUAUAUACCAUAAGGUCCACCACCCAGGUGCUGUAGCCAAAUUCAUUGUCAUACCAGGAAAUGAGGUUGACAAAGUGGUCAAAGUGGUCACUGAGAGCGACGCCAGCCCCAGCAUCAAAGGUGGAAGAGUGAAUGUCUCUGUUAAAGUCACAGGAGACAACCUGGUCCUCAGUGUAGCCCAGGAUGCCCUUGAGGGGGCCCUCUGAUACCUGCUUCACCACCUUCUUGAUGUCAUCGUAUAUGGCAUCUUUCUCCAGGUGGCAAGU